Molecule: long non-coding RNA, 707 nt
Filed under: Olea europaea subsp. europaea
Lineage: Eukaryota; Viridiplantae; Streptophyta; Magnoliopsida; Lamiales; Oleaceae
Source: RNAcentral
GGCUUAUAUUUCUAUAUAUCAUGUUAUUUCAAUAUAUACAUAUACAAUUUUAGUAUGGCAAAUGAUCUAUCAAAUUAUUUUAUAGGCGAUUCCAUACCAGUAUACAGUUUUAGAAAGUAAAAUGAGCUAAAUUAUUAUUUCUUGUACUACUUAUCCAUUUUGAUGCUACUUACCAAACGUGCACUACAAUAUCAACGUAACCACCAUCUGCAGCUAUUGCUUGAUCUAACAACACAGAAUUCAAACAUUAAAACUUCUUGAUCAUGGACCUCAGCAGCCAUUUUAGGAAUCUUCAAGUAAUUCCUACAUAAAGGGCAUGUACUGUGCCCAUAUCCAACCCACCUAUCUAAACAAACUCUGUGAAAAACGUGUUUGCAAUAUUUCAGCUCUCUAACUUCAUCUUGUUCAUCAAUAUUGCACAAGCAAAUUGCACAUUCCACUACAUUCAUAGAUUGACUUAUAUUUCGUGGUCCAAUACGCGUUCUGCUGAAUUCAUCCAGAUCUUGCAGCAUGUUGAUACUGAGAUACUGUUGAAAGAAGGAUUGGUGAAGAAGGAAAUCCCAAGCCCAUUUCAACUGGGAGAUUAUUUGACAAGUUGUUCGGAAAAUAAGUGAUUGAUGAAGGCUUUGGAACAUGUUUCUGGUAGUGGAAAUGAAGAUUGCUAAAGGAGGAAGAAUAUAAAGAGCUGAGGGUAUUUGCAUUUUUUG